GCUCGGAUGGUCUAGUGAUAUGAUUCGCCCUUAGGGAACUAACUUAUUCUUUAACUGGGCGAGGUCCCCAGUUCAAUCAUGGGUUCGGGCC
RNAcentral lists this transfer RNA (91 nucleotides) under Rhizoctonia solani. RNAcentral describes it as "tRNA-Pro". The record is from RNAcentral. Lineage: Eukaryota; Fungi; Basidiomycota; Agaricomycetes; Cantharellales; Ceratobasidiaceae.